GGUCGGGAUAGCUCAGCUGGCAGAGCAGAGGACUGAA
This 37-nucleotide transfer RNA is filed under the name Frasera speciosa. RNAcentral's name for it is "partial tRNA-Phe". Lineage: Eukaryota; Viridiplantae; Streptophyta; Magnoliopsida; Gentianales; Gentianaceae. The record is from RNAcentral.